This 210-nucleotide ribosomal RNA is filed under the name uncultured bacterium. RNAcentral's name for it is "partial 16S ribosomal RNA". It matches the Rfam family "Bacterial small subunit ribosomal RNA", at positions 524 to 728 of the family's 1533-position model. The record is from RNAcentral.
UACAGAGGUCCCAAGCGUUGUUCGGAUUCACUGGGCGUAAAGGGUGCGUAGGCGGUCGGGGUAAGUCUGAUGUGAAAAUCUCACAGCUUAACUGUGAAAACUGCAUUGGAUACUAUUCGGCUAGAGAGUUGGAGGGGGGGGACUGGAAUUCUCGGUGUAGCAGUGAAAAUGCGUAGAUAUCAGAGGAACACCAGUGGCGAAGGCGAGUCC